UAACGCGUAGGAAUGUACCCCAAAGUGAGGGAUAAGCACCGGAAACGGUGUCUAAUACCGCAUAUUAUCUAUGGAUCAAAGCAGCAAUGCGCUUUGGGAACAGCCUGCGUCCGAUUAGUUUGUUGGUGAGGUAAUGGCUCACCAAGACUAUGAUCGGUAGCUGGUCUGAGAGGAUGAUCAGCCUGACUGGAACUGAGACACGGUCCAG
This 208-nucleotide ribosomal RNA is filed under the name uncultured bacterium. RNAcentral describes it as "partial 16S ribosomal RNA". It matches the Rfam family "Bacterial small subunit ribosomal RNA", at positions 111 to 334 of the family's 1533-position model. The record is from RNAcentral.